GUCAAAAUGUAUUGUAAACCAACAUGGUUAAUUGACUGACCCAUUAUUCUGAUCUCUAUUAUUUAAACUGUAGUCAAUGUAGAAAACGGUUAGUUUCAUCUCACGUGUGAGGAGCAAGAAAGAGACACUUCGAAGAAACCUAAGCUCGUUCUCUUUAUGGUCUCUCCACUUUCUUUUUCCCGGCUUCUAUGGAUCUUUGUUUUUCACUUUUUUUUCUUUUCCAAAUUUCACUUAAAUGCCACUGACAAUGACAAUAUACAUUGAUUCGUUUCCAUGGCUCUAUAAAGAAAGUGGGAAUACUAUUAAGGGUGAAACUAAACAUAUGAAGUAGUCACAACUAACUGGCCGCAUGUGAUUUGACUCUUCUGUCUCUUCUAACCACGAUCACUUUUCUCAAACACACUUCACCUAUCCUUUCACUAAUCUCUC
RNAcentral lists this long non-coding RNA (429 nucleotides) under Brassica napus (rape). Its description in RNAcentral is "long non-coding RNA (BNAP_LNC006274)". Lineage: Eukaryota; Viridiplantae; Streptophyta; Magnoliopsida; Brassicales; Brassicaceae. The record is from RNAcentral.